Long non-coding RNA from Morone saxatilis (striped sea-bass), 1004 nucleotides. RefSeq lists it as uncharacterized. The transcript is spliced from 3 exons. NCBI's taxonomy places the organism in Eukaryota, Metazoa, Chordata, Actinopteri, Moronidae. The record is from RefSeq and is a predicted model, not a curated record.
AUCCCUCCUCUUCAACACAGACGAUCUUCGGAGUCAGCCGCUCCGCCGACACGUCGGUCCGGAUACUCUGCCUGGAAACACCGAAAACUAAUCGGAACCAGCGGCCGACAGAGACGGACGGGUCUCACAGGAUACGAGGGGGUCGACUAGGUGUGACUCGCUGUGUUGGUGAUGAUGGGAGGAGAGCAGAGCCAUGAGAGGAAGGAGAGUAAAGAGGAGACUGAAACACCUGAAGAAUCUGUCGGCACUGACAGCUCCGGAUCGGCUGCUUCUGAAGACACCCCAGGAGAGCUGCCCCAGUGCAAGAUGGGAAACAAGAAGGUGGACAACAUGUGCUUCAUGAUCUCUUGCACCAACUGGUACUAAACUGGUCCUGGUACAGGUGCAGGUUGAGGAAACAGGAGGUGUUCAUGUGAGCAGAACUCUGGUGGAGAGCGUGGAGUCACUACUGGGUCAGACGCUGCAUUCAUGAACCCAUCGAAAAUCUGAAAACAUAGCUGACGCUGAAGUCCAAUGUGCUUGUUGCUGUGCUCCACUGCUGCUCUUAAGAGGAAGAUGCCGUAGUGUUAAUGAGCUUGUGUGUCUAAAGUUUGGAUGAGAUACCUGUUUUACAGCUCAGUUAAUGUCAAAUGGAUGAGUUCUGUAUUGAACUGUUUCUAGCUACAUUCAGUGUUACCUUUAAAUGAAAUAGUGUUGCUUUAGUGUAACUACUGUAAGUGAAGGAGACCACAGAUGAUUAGCUUCUGUCAAAUGAUGACAUCAUGCUAAUAGAGGCUAAAGCUAACAGGCACGAGGUUAUGUGUGUGUUGCUAAAGCUAAAAAAUCUACAGAUUUGAUCCGUCUGAAUGUUUCUCUUCAUGCUUUGGAUGGCAGAAGUACAGACUAAUAUUUGGUCGGUUUAUGGUUGAAAUCCCUCCGCUGACAGUUUGCUGCAUUAGUGAGGUUUGAAUUUGAAUCAGUUGUUUUAACAGUACUGGCUGAAAUAAAGAGGUUUGAUAUUUGCA